Equus quagga is the source of this 3601-nucleotide long non-coding RNA. RefSeq lists it as uncharacterized. The transcript has 3 exons. Lineage: Eukaryota; Metazoa; Chordata; Mammalia; Perissodactyla; Equidae. The record is from RefSeq and is a predicted model, not a curated record.
UGCAGCUUAGAGGGGUUCCUCGCUGUCUGCUGUGUGACUUUCAGAUUAUUCCUUUGAGCUGGUUUCCCCGAAGUGCAAUUUCGUGGCUAGAAAGGUUUUCUAGGCUGGUGUCAAAUUUGGUCAAAUGACCUUCGAGGGGGCCGGACGCUCACGCCAGCGGCGUCGGCGAGCGAGUCGAGCCGUGGGGCUCCGUGCAGAACGGGCGUUGUUGGAGGCAGACGACAGAGCCGGGCGAGCCCCCCGGCCCCCCUCCCGGGUCCUCACUCAGCUGCACCCACUCAGGCCCGUUCUGGAACCUGAGCAGCUCCGUGGUUACUGUUCAAGGUGGGUCUUUGGAAGGUCUGUGUCAGAGCUUGACAGCAGGCACCUGAGUGUUUGACAUUUGCUGCUGGACCAUGGGCUGCAGCGAUGCCCCGCGGCGGGGGCUCCGGACGCGCCGAGGUCAGGCCCAGGAGAGGAGCUGUGACGUGGGCACCCCUGCGAAGCCUGGGCUCCCUGGUGACCCUCUCUGAUCUCGCCCCCCGCCGUCUGUGCCAUGGUGUGGAUGGCGCUCCCCCAGGGCAGGUCUGCCCCAGGACGCCGCGCCGCGUCUGGACACGUUUCGGGUUGUCAUGACCGGGGUGCUCCUGGCGUCUGGUGGGUGCAGGCCUGGGGUGCCGCUCAACACCCACGCGCCCAGGGCGGCCCCACCACUGUCCUCUCGGGAAGAGGCGUCCUCGGCUCUGCUCUUGCUCCGGGGUCCCAUGUGCCGGCCUGUGGCCCCCCGGACUUCCCUCUGAACCCUUUGGAGAGGACGGAGGGAGAAAAGGCAGGUCUUAGUCCCGUGAAAAUGGUGUCGGCCCGCGGACCUCGCACCCUGGACCAGCUUGAGGACCAUGUGCGGCUGACUCGCGCCCUUCGUGGUGUACUGUCCACAUUGAUUUGCUGCUUUUUGGCUCCUUUUGUUGAAGAUGGGAGGGUCAGAUGUAAAGCAUUCAGUAUAAUUUUAUGGGGAGAAACGAGCUCAUGGAAAUCCAAUUUGUAAUAGAGUGGACUCUGGGCGGUAAGAGCCGUGCCCCCAGCCUCACUGAGGCCCGGUUGUGCGGGAUUCCCAAAAGACACUCUCAAGAAACCCCGAGAGGAGUUGCAGGCGAGCAGGGCUGAUGUGGGAGCCGGUCCCCAAGUCCCCUGGGAACUCGGGGUGAGGGGACUGUGUGUGUCUGUGUUGGGGACUUUACGGGUCCGUCGUGAGGGGGUGACUCUUACCUGUUGGGGGCCUGUGCAGAGAUGGGGCCGCUAUGAUUAUGGGGGCAUCUUGCUAUUUGACAAUUAACAGACUUUAUUUUUUAGGGCAGUUUUCAGCUUAUAGGAACAUAGGGCGGCAAGGACGGAGCGCUCACACCAUCUGUCCUGCAGCGUCCCUGUCAUCCGGCUCUCGUGUCCCUGUGUCACUGUGGUGUGUGGGUCACAGCUGAUGCACUGACAAUGAUGCUGUGAUGACUGAUGUCAGCGCUGUAUCCCGAUGGCUCGGUUUUCACCCGAGUCCGCUUUCUGUCCCAGGACCCAUGUGACAUUUGGUCCUCGUGUCUCUGUGCUCCUCUGGGAUGGGAUGGCAGCUCAGACUUCUGGUGAUGGCUCUGACUGUUCUGAGGCGUCCUGGCCGGGGGGUGCCCUCAGCGGGGGUCUGUCGGAUGGUCUCCUCAAGGUUGGGUGGGGAAAUGUGGCCGCUUCUUGGACUGUGACCUUUCUGUGGGUCCCGCUUCCUCCCCUGAGAUGGAGAGGGGCUGGUGGGAGACAGGGGUCCUUUCCGUCCUCCUUGAGGGGAGACAGGGGAGGGAGGGGACAAGUGCAUGAAGCGACAGCAGCCCCGGGCUAGGAGAGCAUGCAGUGUCAUGGAAACAAAGAUGAUAAGGCAGGGCUGAGGGAAAUGGGGCCUGACACCCUCAAGCACCUGGUGGGAGCACUUGGCAGGGGGCACCCGGUGGCAAGCCUCUCUGGGCUGGAGGGCUCGUCUCAGGGGGAGCAGAGGAUCUGCUUUGGCGAGGGGCUCUCCAGUCCCUGGUGGCUGGGCUCUGUGCAGGGAGCGUGCAUCCUCCUGGCCUCAGCCUGUCAAUCCUGGGGUCUGGCAGACACGCCCUGCCCGGCAGUCCUCCAGUCUCCCCGCCGGGCGUGCUCCUCGGGUAAGCUAAUGGGAGUAUGUGUCCAGGCUGCUGUCUCCCCAGAACCACCCUUUUGCUUUUCUGGGGGCUUCGCUCUGGCCGUGGGGGUUUCUCAGGGCCUUGAGGCACUGAUUACUGGCUUCACACCUCAGGAUCCACAUGAGGGUCGAGGACUCGGAUCCUGCAGAGGGUGGCUUAGGCCAGCCAUGUGGCUCUGCUCAGAGCGGGCUGCUGGUGUGAGUGACCGGCUCCCGCUGAGGGCCGGGCCCCUCGGGAGCGGGUGGGAGGGGAGAGGUGGGUGUGCGCGGACGAAGUGGUUGGCAGAUGCUCUGGGCCGAGCGGCUCCGGUUGGACGUGCUGGAGAUGUGAACCCUUGGUGCCCGCUCUGGGCCGUCCCCUUGGCCUCCCCAGCGCCGCAGUGGGCGCAGCCUGGAGCCCCAUGCCGUCUGUCCUCACCCACCCUGCUCCUGGCGCAAGGGGAGUGUGGAAGAACCUGUUUCCUCCCUAGAAAGAUUGCAUUUGCUUCCAGUCUCCGCCGACGUGUCUUUAGCUGAGUGACGCUGGAGGCUCUUGGCUUUUAACAGCUCUCCUUAACCAGGCUCUGCUUCCCGCAGUCCCUUGGACACGGGCUGAUGGACAGCACCACUCCCCCCACGCGGGGCCCAGCGGGAUGUGACAUAGCCAAGCCAGCUGCCUUUGACCAGAGCGUCUCUCAGCCCUUUCUGUGCACUCACAGCUUCUUCCAGCCCUGCCGCCCCUCUGCGCCCCCUCACCCCACGGCCUCCCCAGCUGCAGUUUCCCCCAGCAUUCAAAGCAGAAGCAGAACCGGUCCCGCUCCCCAGAAGUUGAACUGUGUGUUUCGUCUUCAGCAAAGCGCACCAAAUGCUGAGUUGCGCCUGUCUGGAUUGCUCCAGCUGUGGACGAAGCCAGGCCUCCCCGUCUCAGGAUCCACAUGCCUCCUUUCUUCCUCCCUGGUGGGGGCUGCAGGAGGUUUGCUGAGCACGACACAGGCCACCCCUCACGGCCCGGGUGCUCAGAGCUCUCCGUGUGGGAAUGGGGGUGGGAGUAGGUAGGAGAAAGGGAAGCGGGCGGCCCCUGCUGACCAUGCACCCACCAGCCUCUUGUGCCCUGGGAGCGGGCUCACAAAUGGUCUGGUGUCUUAGGGACGGGCCUGAUUGUGGAGCCACACUCCUGGGGUUCACACUGUGGUGUUGUCCCCUCCUGGCUGUGUAGUGUUAGCCUUUCUGUGCCCUGGUUUCCUCACUCGUGAACUGCAGUUAAUAGUCCCUCCCCCACAGGGUGUGGGAUGAGAUGAAUUAAUAUGUGGAAAGAGUUAAUGGUCAGUGUCAGCCCCAGAUGACGUUGAUGGUGGUGGUGAUGAUGAGGGUGAUGAUGGUGGUGAUCAUGACAAUGAUGCUGAUGGAGAUGAUAGUGGUGGUGAUGAUGAAGACUAUAGUGAUGAU